This 253-nucleotide ribosomal RNA is filed under the name uncultured bacterium. RNAcentral describes it as "partial 16S ribosomal RNA". It matches the Rfam family "Bacterial small subunit ribosomal RNA", at positions 524 to 776 of the family's 1533-position model. The record is from RNAcentral.
UACGUAGGGGGCAAGCGUUGUCCGGAAUCAUUGGGCGUAAAGCGCGUGUAGGCGGCCCGGUAAGUCCGCUGUGAAAGUCGGGGGCUCAACCCUCGAAUGCCGGUGGAUACUGUCGGGCUAGAGUGCGGGAGAGGCGAGUGGAAUUCCUGGUGUAGCGGUGAAAUGCGCAGAUAUCAGGAGGAACACCGGUGGCGAAGGCGGAUCUCUGGGCCUUACCUGACGCUGAGGCGCGAAAGCUAGGGGAGCGAACAGG